This is a non-coding RNA of Danio aesculapii, 393 nucleotides long. NCBI's taxonomy places the organism in Eukaryota, Metazoa, Chordata, Actinopteri, Cypriniformes, Danionidae. The record is from the annotation of a RefSeq genome assembly.
AUGAAGCUUCACUCACUUAUUCUCUUCGGUGCCUCAGCUGCUGCAGUUUUUGGAAAUGUCAUCAAACCAAUCAACACUGAUGUUUUUGCUGAAGAAGGAUCAAAUGUGACAUUAUCCUGUAGUUUUAAAGCCUCUGGAGGUGCAGAUGAUCUCCACUGGUACCGUCAGUAUGGAGGAUCAAAACCUGAAUUUCUUGUCCUCAUCUACGGGUCUGCAACAAAAGCUGCACCGUCUGAUAUAGACACAAGAUUCACUACUAAUAUUACUAAAAAGGAGCAUGUGGACCUGCUGCUCUCCUCUGCUGCAGUAUCAGACUCUGCUGUGUAUUACUGCGCUCUGCAGCCCACAGUGACAGGAAACACAUCAGCUCCAUACAAAAACCUGAUACAAUGA